AAAGUCGUAACAAGGUUUCCGUAGGUGAACCUGCGGAAGGAUCGUUAAAGAGACGUUGCCCUUCGGGGUAUACCUCCCACCCAUUGUUUAUUUACCUUUGUUGCUUUGGCAGUCCCGGCUUCGGCCCACCGGCUCCGGCUGGUCAGUGACUGUCGAAGAUACCAAAACUCUGUUUGUUAAUAUUGUCUGAGUACUAUAUAAUAGUUAAAACUUUCAACAACGGAUCUCUUGGUUCUG
RNAcentral lists this unclassified non-coding RNA (237 nucleotides) under Ascomycota sp. RNAcentral's name for it is "partial contains small subunit ribosomal RNA, internal transcribed spacer 1, and 5.8S ribosomal RNA". The stretch from base 1 to 47 matches the Rfam family "Eukaryotic small subunit ribosomal RNA", at positions 1785 to 1831 of the family's 1831-position model. The record is from RNAcentral. Lineage: Eukaryota; Fungi; Ascomycota.